RNAcentral lists this ribosomal RNA (1041 nucleotides) under groundwater metagenome. RNAcentral describes it as "bacterial SSU rRNA". It matches the Rfam family "Bacterial small subunit ribosomal RNA", at positions 9 to 942 of the family's 1533-position model. The record is from RNAcentral.
GGAUUUGAUCCUGGUCCAGGAUGAACGCUGGCGGUGUGGAUAAGGCAUGCAAGUCGAGCGGAACUAAUUUUGAAGAAGUUGAGAUUAUAUCAAAGCGACGGAUUUUUUAGUUUAGCGGCGAACGAGUUAGUAACACCCUAGUACGUACCCCAGAGACGGAGAUAGUCCGCCGAAAGGCGGGGUAAUAACCGAUAGCAUCGUGCUUCACACCAUGUUCGGUGUUCGAAGUUCGAGUUGUUCGAAGUAUUUCAUCGAACAUCGAACGAGGUCGCUUGAGGCGACCGAUUGAACAAUGAACAUCGCGUGGAGCGCGAUUAAAGUCGCAAGACGCUCUGGGAUCGGCUUAGGUCUGAUCAGCUAGUUGGUAGGGUAAUGGCCUACCAAGGCUACGACCAGUAGGGGAGGUGAGAGCCUGACCCCCAACGACGGAACUGAGAUACGGUCCGUACUCCUACGGGAGGCAGCAGUCGAGAAUAUUCGACAAUGGGCGAAAGCCUGAUCGAGCGACACCGCGUGCAGGAAGAAGCUUUUCGGAGUGUAAACUGCGGUAGUUAGGGAAUAAUUUACAUGAAUGUACCUAACGGAAAGAGGUGGGUAACUACGUGCCAGCACCAGCGGUAAUACGUAGACCUCAAGCGUUAUCCGGAUUUAUUGGGCGUAAAGAGCGUGUAGGUGGUCCUUCAAGUCCUUUGUUAAAGGCCGCCGCUUAACGGCGGUUAUGCAAGGGAAACUGUUGGACUGGAGGAGAUAAGAGGCUGACGGAACACACGGUGUAGGGGUGAAAUCCGUUGAUAUCGUGUGGAACACCAAAGGCGAAGGCAGUCAGCUGGGAUCUUCCUGACACUGAGACGCGAAAGCGUGGGGAGCAAAAAGGAUUAGAUACCCUUGUAGUCCACGCCCUAAACGAUGCCUGCUAGCUGUUUCGAGUAUCGACCCUCGGAGUGGCGAAGCUAACGCGUUAAGCAGGCCGCCUGGGAAGUACGGCCGCAAGGCUAAAACUCAAAGGAAUAGACGGGGACUCGCACAAGCGGUGGAACAUGA